CACGCCGUAAACGAUGAUCACUAGUGGUAUGGGGCUUCGACCCCCUGUGUCACGAAGCUAACGCGUUAAGUGAUCCGCCUGGGGAGUACGAACGCAAGUUUAAAACUCAAAGGAAUUGACGGGGACCCGCACAAGCGGUGGAGGAUGUGGUUUAAUUCGAGGCUACGCGAAGAACCUUACCGAGGUUUGACAUCCCAGGAAGGCCGCCGAAAGGUGGCUGUGCCUUCGGGAACCUGGUGACAGGUGC
Molecule: ribosomal RNA, 247 nt
Filed under: uncultured bacterium
Lineage: Bacteria
Description: partial 16S ribosomal RNA
Rfam family: Bacterial small subunit ribosomal RNA
Source: RNAcentral